Molecule: ribosomal RNA, 503 nt
Filed under: uncultured bacterium
Lineage: Bacteria
Description: partial 16S ribosomal RNA
Rfam family: Bacterial small subunit ribosomal RNA
Source: RNAcentral
AUUGAACGCUGGCGGCAGGCUUAACACAUGCAAGUCGAGCGGGGUGAUGGUGCUUGCACUAUCACUUAGCGGCGGACGGGUGAGUAAUGCUUAGGAAUCUGCCUAUUGGUGGGGGACAACUUCUCGAAAGGGAUGCUAAUACCGCAUACGUCCUACGGGAGAAAGCAGGGGAUCACUUGUGACCUUGCGCUAAUAGAUGAGCCUAAGUCGGAUUAGCUAGUUGGUGGGGUAAAGGCCUACCAAGGCGACGAUCUGUAGCGGGUCUGAGAGGAUGAUCCGCCACACUGGGACUGAGACACGGCCCAGAGUCCUACGGGAGGCAGCAGUGGGGAAGAUUGGACAAGGGGGGGAACCCUGAUCUAGCCAUGCCGCGUGUGUGAAGAAGGCCUUAUGGUUGUAAAGCACUUUAAGCGAGGAGGAGGCUCUUUUGGUUAAUACCCAAGAUGAGUGGACGUUACUCGCAGAAUAAGCACCGGCUAACUCUGUGCCAGCAGCCGCAGUAA